GAUGAACGCUGGCGGCGUGCUUAACACAUGCAAGUCGAACGGGAAAUAUUUCAUUGAGACUUCGGUGGAUUUGAUUUAUUUCUAGUGGCGGACGGGUGAGUAACGCGUGGGUAACCUGCCUUAUACAGGGGGAUAACAGUCAGAAAUGGCUGCUAAUACCGCAUAAGCGCACAGAGCUGCAUGGCUCAGUGUGAAAAACUCCGGUGGUAUAAGAUGGACCCGCGUUGGAUUAGCUAGUUGGUGGGGUAACGGCCCACCAAGGCGACGAUCCAUAGCCGGCCUGAGAGGGUGAACGGCCACAUUGGGACUGAGACACGGCCCAGACUCCUACGGGAGGCAGCAGUGGGGAAUAUUGCACAAUGGGGGAAACCCUGAUGCAGCGACGCCGCGUGAAGGAAGAAGUAUCUCGGUAUGUAAACUUCUAUCAGCAGGGAAGAUAGUGACGGUACCUGACUGAGAAGCCCCGGCUAACUACGUG
Molecule: ribosomal RNA, 478 nt
Filed under: uncultured bacterium
Lineage: Bacteria
Description: partial 16S ribosomal RNA
Rfam family: Bacterial small subunit ribosomal RNA
Source: RNAcentral